CACGGGGGUUGCGAGCGUUGUCCGGAAUUACUAGGCGUAAAGGGCAGGCAGGCGGAUCCAUAAGUUUAUCGUUUAAGGCGUCGGCUUAACCGGCGUAGGGCGGUAGAUACUGUGGAUCUGGAAUGCGGUUGGGGAAGACAGAAUUCCUGGUGUAGUGGUGGAAUGCGCAGAGAUCAGGAGGAAUACCGAAGGCGAAGGCAGUCUUCCAAGCCGUUAUUGACCUCAACUGCGAAGGUGUGGGUAUCAAACAGGAUUAGAUACCCCUGUAGUCCCUGA
This 276-nucleotide ribosomal RNA is filed under the name uncultured prokaryote. Its description in RNAcentral is "partial 16S ribosomal RNA". It matches the Rfam family "Bacterial small subunit ribosomal RNA", at positions 524 to 800 of the family's 1533-position model. The record is from RNAcentral.